GGAUGUGAGGAUGAUCUGGCUUCGACAUCUGUCACCCCAUUGUCGCCAGGGUUGAUUUGCCUGAUCUGGCUGGCUAGGCGAGCUUCCCCUUCCUCCCUCACCCAUGUGCAUCUCUCCUGAAGCUGUGCACUCUGUAGAAGCGGAUGACCUUCCCCCGGGAGGAGAGGACCACACCGAUCUUUAGUCAAAGGUAUAUGAGUAGUUGCACUCCCCUGCUAGAACCUCCAAACAAGCUCUCAAAUAUGACCUCAAACCUUCCAGGACUUCCCAGAGCCAAACUGUUUUGCCAUAAGUCUCAGUUUUCUUAACUCUGUCAUGGGGUUGAGA
Molecule: unclassified non-coding RNA, 327 nt
Organism: Myotis lucifugus (little brown bat)
Lineage: Eukaryota; Metazoa; Chordata; Mammalia; Chiroptera; Vespertilionidae
Gene: 7SK
Rfam family: 7SK RNA
About the family: 7SK was discovered as an abundant small nuclear RNA in the mid-70s but a possible function has only recently been suggested.
Source: Ensembl